AGGCUGCAACUCGCCUACAUGAAGUCGGAAUUGCUAGUAAUCGCGGAUCAGCAUGCCGCGGUGAGUACGUUCCCGGGCCUUGUACACACCGCCCGUCACACCAUGAGAGCCGGUAACACCCGAAGUCAGUAGCCUAACCGCAAGGGGGGCGCUGCCGAAGGUGGGAUUGGUAAUUGGGGUGAAGUCGUAACAAGGUAGC
RNAcentral lists this ribosomal RNA (199 nucleotides) under uncultured bacterium. RNAcentral describes it as "partial 16S ribosomal RNA". It matches the Rfam family "Bacterial small subunit ribosomal RNA", at positions 1302 to 1500 of the family's 1533-position model. The record is from RNAcentral.